Molecule: ribosomal RNA, 349 nt
Filed under: uncultured bacterium
Lineage: Bacteria
Description: partial 16S ribosomal RNA
Rfam family: Bacterial small subunit ribosomal RNA
Source: RNAcentral
CCUACGGGUGGCAGCAGUGAGGAAUAUUGGUCAAUGGGCGUAAGCCUGAACCAGCCAAGUCGCGUGAGGGAUGAAGGUUCUAUGGAUCGUAAACCUCUUUUAUAAGGGAAUAAAGUGUGGGACGUGUCCUAUUUUGUAUGUACCUUAUGAAUAAGGAUCGGCUAACUCCGUGCCAGCAGCCGCGGUAAUACGGAGGAUCCGAGCGUUAUCCGGAUUUAUUGGGUUUAAAGGGUGCGUAGGCGGCCUUUUAAGGCAGCGGUGAAAGUAUGUGGCUAAACCAUAGAAUUGCCGUGGAAACUGGGGAGGUGUGGUGUGUUGGAGGAAGGUGGAAGUGGUGGUGUGGCGGUGA